This is a long non-coding RNA of Brassica oleracea var. oleracea, 754 nucleotides long. RefSeq lists it as uncharacterized. The transcript is spliced from 3 exons. Lineage: Eukaryota; Viridiplantae; Streptophyta; Magnoliopsida; Brassicales; Brassicaceae. The record is from RefSeq and is a predicted model, not a curated record.
ACUACAUCAAACUGAGCGAGAUGGAGAAGAACCGCAAGUUGAAUGACCUUCUUGACGCAUUGGACUUCAAUCAAGUUGUCAUAUUUGUGAAGAGCGUUAGCAGAGCUGGGGAGCUGAACAAGUUGCUUAUUGAAUGCAAUUUCCCCUCAAUAUGCAUUCACUCUGGCAUGUCUCAGGAAGAGAGGUUUGUAUAUUAUUUCAUCUGAACCGUCUCGACUUGCUCUUAGAGCUUUUCUACAGGAGACCAAUUCUUAACCCUUCACAAUGAUAUGAUAUUUAUGCUGACUCACUACAAAAGUUUUUAAGGAAGGGCACAAGAGGAUCCUUGUGGCGACAGACUUGGUAGGAAGAGGCAUUGCCAUUGAGCGUGUCAACAUUGUUAUCAACUAUGACAUGCCAGAUUCUGCUGAUACAUAUCUUCACAGGGUCGGGAGAGCUGGUAGGUUUGGAACAAAGGGUCUUGCGAUCACAUUUGUGGUAUCAGCUUCAGAUUCUGAAGUUCUUAAUCAGUGAUGGGUUAUGGGAUGUGGUGAGUUCGAAGAAAGCUGUGCAGCUGGUGCUACAGGUAAAACAAUUUUUUCUACUUCAAAUGGAAGCAACAUGGCUGUGCUGCUCUGUCAUAACCUCACGUGUAUGUUUCAGAAAUUUUUUUUUUUAAGAAACUCAAUGAGGUUCUACCAUUGGAGUAAGAAAAAUUUAAUUAGACUAACAUGGGUUCUAAACUUUUCAAAUCACAAAAUUAAUUACUAAAUUA